Molecule: long non-coding RNA, 1064 nt
Organism: Bos taurus (domestic cattle)
Lineage: Eukaryota; Metazoa; Chordata; Mammalia; Artiodactyla; Bovidae
Source: Ensembl
CAUGAGAAAGGGAAGAAUGCUUUCAAAAUUCUUGCAUCUGUAGUGCUAGCUGGUGAGGAGCAACAGAAAUACCUCUUGUUCAGUAACAUUUACUCUUAGAGCUGAGACAUGGGCAAGGUAUGGGGCGGUGGAGGGGGGCAUAGAGAAAUGUGCCCAGCACACUCAUCAGGGAGGCCAAUGGGCUUGUAAAGAACAAGGUCAAUUACCCAGUAAGUUCCCCUCUCAUGAACCUUCAAGUUGCAAACUUUCAAAGAUAGGAAUGUGCACCUUGCUGCAACAAGAAACCAGAACCUGUGCCAUCCACAUGAGUCAUAAGUGACCUUGCAGCUUGCCCUCCAUCUCCUGUUGCUGAUGACCCUUCAGCCCUAUCAUCUCCCACCUCCUCUCCCUCCUCCAUCAGUAACUCUUCUGGUCUGUUCCCUCGAUGCCAGCCACUGUAUGCCAGCUGUUGUACUGCACUGCUGUAUUUCUCAAGGGUAGGCAAGGCACAAGCUAGAAAGCAUAUGGGAAGACGCUGGAAGAAGAUCCAAGGAAUGCAGGAACCGCAGACAUUCUUUAUUCACGGCAGCAAGGCUGACUGCUUUGUUCUCUAAUGGUUGAUGCCGCCGCAACGCGCAGCAAGGGCUUUUCAGGUGGUGCUUGCAUAGGGCUACCUUUUUUUUGGUCAAAGGUACGGGUGUUGGAGAAGACUCUUGAGAGUCCCUUGGACUGCAAGGAGAUCCAACCACUCCAUUCUGAAGGAGAUCAGCCCUGGGAUUUCUUUGGAAGGACUGAUGCUGAAGCUGAAACUCCAAUACUUUGGCCACCUCAUGUGAAGAGUUGACUCAUUGGAAAAGACUCUGAUGCUGGGAGGGAUUGGGGGCAGGAGGAGAAGGGGACAGCAAAGGAUGAGAUGGCUGGAUGGCAUCACUGACUCGAUGGACAUGAGUUUGGGUGAACUCCGGGAGUUGGUGAUGGACAGGGAGGCCUGGCAUGCUGCAAUUCAUGGGGUCGCAAAGAGUUGGACGUGACUGAGCGACUGAACUGAACUGAACUGAACUAUCCUUACCAAAAUUUUAGUACGG